This 265-nucleotide non-coding RNA is filed under the name Melissococcus plutonius. RNAcentral's name for it is "T-box sequence". It matches the Rfam family "T-box leader". From Rfam's summary of the family: Uncharged tRNA acts as the effector for transcription antitermination of genes in the T-box leader family. T-boxes are found upstream of many aminoacyl-tRNA synthetase genes and some amino acid biosynthetic genes usually in Gram-positive bacteria. The record is from RNAcentral. Lineage: Bacteria; Bacillati; Bacillota; Bacilli; Lactobacillales; Enterococcaceae.
UGAAAGACAAUGAAAAGGGUAAGUAUUAAGCAGUUUGAACUAUCAGCGAGUUAAGGGCAGUGAAAGCUUAGCAGACAAAUGUUUAAGAAAAACACCUUGGAGUCUCGAACUGAAAUGAUCGAUUAAGCCAGUAAAAAUUUGAUCAAAGUAGGUAUAGACGUAACCAAUACGUUAAAAUUGGUGAGUAUAAUUGUACUCAAUAAAGUCGGCUUUUUCAUUAAAGCAAGAUAGGUGGUACCACGGAAGAUAACCUUUCGUCCUUUUU